GUUGAACGCUGGCGGCAUGCUUUACACAUGCAAGUCGAACGGUAACAGGUUAAGCUGACGAGUGGCGAACGGGUGAGUAAUGCAUCGGAACGUGCCCGGUCGUGGGGGAUAACGCAGCGAAAGCUGCGCUAAUACCGCAUACGAUCUGAGGAUGAAAGCGGGGGACCGUAAGGCCUCGCGCGAUCGGAGCGGCCGAUGUCAGAUUAGGUAGUUGGUGGGGUAAAGGCCCACCAAGCCGACGAUCUGUAGCUGGUCUGAGAGGACGACCAGCCACACUAGGACUGAGACACGGCCCAGACUCCUACGGGAGGUAGCAGUGGGGAAUUUUGGACAAUGGGCGAAAGCCUGAUCCAGCAAUGCCGCGUGCAGGAAGAAGGCCUUCGGGUUGUAAACUGCUUUUGUACGGAGCGAAAAGGUCCUUUCUAAUACAAGGGGCUCAUGACGGUACCGUAAGAAUAAGCACCGGCUAACUACGUGCCAGCAGCCGCAGUAA
RNAcentral lists this ribosomal RNA (493 nucleotides) under uncultured bacterium. RNAcentral describes it as "partial 16S ribosomal RNA". It matches the Rfam family "Bacterial small subunit ribosomal RNA", at positions 28 to 523 of the family's 1533-position model. The record is from RNAcentral.